This 353-nucleotide small RNA is filed under the name Rhytidhysteron rufulum. RNAcentral describes it as "eukaryotic LSU rRNA". It matches the Rfam family "Eukaryotic large subunit ribosomal RNA", at positions 295 to 666 of the family's 3401-position model. The record is from RNAcentral. Lineage: Eukaryota; Fungi; Ascomycota; Dothideomycetes; Hysteriales; Hysteriaceae.
GGGGGUAAUUUCUUCUAAGCUAAAUACUGGCCAGAGACCGAUAGCGCACAAGUAGAGUGAUCGAAAGAUGAAAAGCACUUUGGAAAGAGAGUCAAAAAGUACGUGAAAUUGUUGAAAGGGAAGCGCUUGCAACCAGACCUGCCCGUAGUUGCUCAUCCAGGCUUCUGCCUGGUGCACUCUUCUGCGGUCAGGCCAGCAUCAGUUCUGGCGGUCGGAUAAAGGCGGCGGGAAUGUAGCUCCUCUCGGGGAGUGUUAUAGCCCGCCGUGUCAUGCGGCCAGCCGGGACUGAGGUCCGCGCUUCGGCUAGGAUGCUGGCGUAAUGGUUGUAAGCGGCCCGUCUUGAAAACACGGAC